Molecule: unclassified non-coding RNA, 1265 nt
Filed under: uncultured Neocallimastigales
Lineage: Eukaryota; Fungi; Neocallimastigomycota; Neocallimastigomycetes; Neocallimastigales
Description: partial contains internal transcribed spacer 1, 5.8S ribosomal RNA, internal transcribed spacer 2, and large subunit ribosomal RNA
Rfam family: Eukaryotic large subunit ribosomal RNA (bases 567-1265)
Source: RNAcentral
CUGCGGAAGGAUCAUAUAAAUGGUCUACGUUUUUUAAGUAGACGUUAAUAAUCCUACCCUUUGUGAUUGUUUGUUUUGAAAUAAUUUUUUUAAAAUAUUGAUGUCUUCCUGUUGAAUGGUUGUUAUGGACAGUGAUCGCAGGGAGUGUCAUAAUUUUAAAAAGACCUUUUUUUAAAUUAAACCUUUUUGUAUUAUUGUCUAAAAUUAUUUUUAUAAUAUAAAACAACUUUGACAAUGGAUCUCUUGGUUCUGCAACGAUGAAGAACGCAGCAAAAUGCGAUAAGUAGGUGAAUUGCAGAUACGUGAAUCAUCGAAUCUUCGAACGCAUAUUGCACUUUUUUAGUUUACUAAAAAGUAUGUCUGUUGAUAUCAGUAAAUAUUCUCAUAAAAAACAUUGUUUUUUAUGUUAUGAGUGUUUACAACGAUACAAUUGUUUCACUUUAAAUUUUUUAAAUUUGAAUUUUCUAAUUUUAAAAUAAAAUUGAUAAAAUUUCCGUAAAAAGGAAUAACCUAAAAAUUUUAGUUUUUGAUUAGAAUUUUUCAUUAUAAAGGAAAAUUUAAUAAUAACUUGAUCAAUCAGAUAAGAGUACCGCUGAACUUAAGCAUAUCAAUAAGCGGAGGAAAGAAACUAACAAGGAUUCCCUUAGUAACGGCGAGUGAAGCGGGAAGAGCUCAAAUUUGAAAUCUUCAAGGUUUUACCUUGACGAAUUGUAGUUUAAAGAAGUGUUUUCUGUGAAGUUUGGUAAAAGUUUUGGAAUAGGACAUCAUAGAGGUGAGAAUCCGUAUUUGACCAUUAUUUCAGCUGUGUGAUACACUUUCAAAGAGUCGGAUUGUUUGGAAUGCAGUCCAAAAAUGGGUGUAAUUCAUCUAAAGCAAAUAUUGGCGAGAGACGAUAGCGAACAGUACCGUGAGGGAAAGAUGAAAAACUUGAAAAGGAGUUAAACAGUACGUGAAAUUGUCAAAGGGAAGGUUGACACAGUGUUGUUUCUCGAAAAUAAUUAAAAAAGUUGGAUUUUGUGUUGUAUUGACCUUAACAGCUUGCUUCACUCUUUUCCUGCUUUUUUUAAUGCACUUUUCGUUUACAAGUCACAUCAGUUUCUUUUGUUGUAAAAGGUCAUUGAAGUGGCUUUCUCUUCGGAGAGUGUUUAUAGCUUUGAUCUGCAAUCGGAGAGACUGAGUUGCAGCGUAGAUCUUCGGGUUAGAUACUUGUGCUAAGCUACAGUUUCAUAGAAACUGUUGACUAUGUUAGUCUUGUGACUUACCCU